UGUUCCAGUUGUCACGCCAGUGGCAAUGGCUGGGUAGCCGCGUUCGGAAAGGAUAAACGCUGAAUGCAUAUAAGCGUGAAGCCUUCCCCGAGAAUAGAUAUCCCUGAAGACGCCUUGGAGACUACAAGGUUGAUAGGCAGCAAAUGUAAGAGCCGUAAGGCUUUCAGUUUAGCUGUACUAAUCCGUCGUCAGGCUUGACCAU
This 202-nucleotide ribosomal RNA is filed under the name Candidatus Omnitrophota bacterium. RNAcentral's name for it is "partial 23S ribosomal RNA". It matches the Rfam family "Bacterial large subunit ribosomal RNA", at positions 2713 to 2925 of the family's 2925-position model. Lineage: Bacteria; Pseudomonadati; Candidatus Omnitrophota. The record is from RNAcentral.